CAGAUUAUUUGUGCGCGUUAAUCUUUACAUACGGCCUGUGUUAUUGAAACUGGAAUUGAAAAGACAGUGAUAAGUGUUUGCGAUGUACCGCAAAACAAAGAACAAUAGAAACUAUUUCGGAACAUAGUUCUAACAACGUUUUAUAUGGGUAAUUAUAAAUGAAUAAUCCUCACUGUAAUUACGAAUUUCAUCUCCCAAAUUCAGUA
Molecule: long non-coding RNA, 206 nt
Organism: Uloborus diversus
Lineage: Eukaryota; Metazoa; Arthropoda; Arachnida; Araneae; Uloboridae
Exons: 3
Source: RefSeq, a predicted model, not a curated record